Molecule: ribosomal RNA, 1443 nt
Filed under: uncultured organism
Description: partial small subunit ribosomal RNA
Rfam family: Bacterial small subunit ribosomal RNA
Source: RNAcentral
UAGGACGAACGCUGGCGGCGUGCUUAACACAUGCAAGUCGAACGGAAAGGCCCUGCUUUUGUGGGGUGCUCGAGUGGCGAACGGGUGAGUAACACGUGAGUAACCUGCCCUUGACUUUGGGAUAACUUCAGGAAACUGGGGCUAAUACCGGAUAGGAGCUCCUGCUGCAUGGUGGGGGUUGGAAAGUUUCGGCGGUUGGGGAUGGACUCGCGGCUUAUCAGCUUGUUGGUGGGGUAGUGGCUUACCAAGGCUUUGACGGGUAGCCGGCCUGAGAGGGUGACCGGCCACAUUGGGACUGAGAUACGGCCCAGACUCCUACGGGAGGCAGCAGUGGGGAAUAUUGCACAAUGGGCGGAAGCCUGAUGCAGCAACGCCGCGUGCGGGAUGACGGCCUUCGGGUUGUAAACCGCUUUCGCCUGUGACGAAGCGUGAGUGACGGUAAUGGGUAAAGAAGCACCGGCUAACUACGUGCCAGCAGCCGCGGUGAUACGUAGGGUGCGAGCGUUGUCCGGAUUUAUUGGGCGUAAAGGGCUCGUAGGUGGUUGAUCGCGUCGGAAGUGUAAUCUUGGGGCUUAACCCUGAGCGUGCUUUCGAUACGGGUUGACUUGAGGAAGGUAGGGGAGAAUGGAAUUCCUGGUGGAGCGGUGGAAUGCGCAGAUAUCAGGAGGAACACCAGUGGCGAAGGCGGUUCUCUGGGCCUUUCCUGACGCUGAGGAGCGAAAGCGUGGGGAGCGAACAGGCUUAGAUACCCUGGUAGUCCACGCUGUAAACGGUGGGUACUAGGUGUGGGGUCCAUUCCACGGGUUCCGUGCCGUAGCUAACGCUUUAAGUACCCCGCCUGGGGAGUACGGCCGCAAGGCUAAAACUCAAAGGAAUUGACGGGGCCCCGCACAAGCGGCGGAGCAUGCGGAUUAAUUCGAUGCAACGCGUAGAACCUUACCUGGGUUUGACAUGGAUCGGGAGUGCUCAGAGAUGGGUGUGCCUCUUUUGGGGUCGGUUCACAGGUGGUGCAUGGCUGUCGUCAGCUCGUGUCGUGAGAUGUUGGGUUAAGUCCCGCAACGAGCGCAACCCUUGUUCACUGUUGCCAGCACGUUAUGGUGGGGACUCAGUGGAGACCGCCGGGGUCAACUCGGAGGAAGGUGGGGAUGACGUCAAGUCAUCAUGCCCCUUAUGUCCAGGGCUUCACGCAUGCUACAAUGGCUGGUACAGAGAGUGGCGAGCCUGUGAGGGUGAGCGAAUCUCGGAAAGCCGGUCUCAGUUCGGAUUGGGGUCUGCAACUCGACCUCAUGAAGUCGGAGUCGCUAGUAAUCGCAGAUCAGCAACGCUGCGGUGAAUACGUUCCCGGGGCUUGUACACACCGCCCGUCAAGUCAUGAAAGUUGGUAACACCCGAAGCCGGUGGCCUAACCGUUGUGGGGGAGCCGUCGAAGGUGGGACUGGUGAU